CACAGACCAAUGGCAAAAGGCAAUGCGAGUAAAAUUAGACCAUCUAAUUUUCCUUUAUUUAAAAAAAAAAAAGGCAAACUUAUUUGUGCUCUAGAUUGGGAUAGUACCCAACAACCAUGCCUGUACAAUUCUAUUGUGAUUGGUCUUCCUUCACACUUUGUCUCAUGCACCACUGAGGACUACUACUACUACUAGAGAGAAGUAGGACGGCUGGCCCAACUCUUCUUCCUGUUGUAAACUGUCAUGGUUUAAUAUCAACAAAAAGCAAUGAAAAAUGGAAAAAUAAUGAACAUGAAUGUCAAUUUACCUUGGAAUGCCAGUCAGUUAUUAACUAAAAACAUUAUUUUAUUGGAGUCUCCAUUAUAAUCACAGUAAUGGACUACUGAUUACAUCACAAAACAAUCACUGGUGAUAUAUCACACUAUCUCUGUAAGUGAGGAAGAAAGCAUACCC
Oreochromis aureus is the source of this 453-nucleotide long non-coding RNA. The record is from Ensembl. NCBI's taxonomy places the organism in Eukaryota, Metazoa, Chordata, Actinopteri, Cichliformes, Cichlidae.